This 811-nucleotide ribosomal RNA is filed under the name uncultured bacterium. Its description in RNAcentral is "bacterial SSU rRNA". It matches the Rfam family "Bacterial small subunit ribosomal RNA", at positions 29 to 835 of the family's 1533-position model. The record is from RNAcentral.
UUGAACGCUGGCGGAAUGCUUUACACAUGCAAGUCGAACGGCAGCACGGACUUCGGUCUGGUGGCGAGUGGCGAACGGGUGAGUAACAUAUCGGAACGUAUCCAAUAAUGGGGGAUAACUAAUCGAAAGGUUGGCUAAUACCGCAUACGCCCUACGGGGGAAAGCUAGGGACCUUCGGGCCUGGCGUUAAUGGAGCGGCCGAUAUCUGAUUAGCUAGUUGGUGGGGUAAAGGCCCACCAAGGCGACGAUCAGUAGCUGGUCUGAGAGGACGACCAGCCACACUGGAACUGAGACACGGUCCAGACUCCUACGGGAGGCAGCAGUGGGGAAUUUUGGACAAUGGGCGCAAGCCUGAUCCAGCCAUUCCGCGUGAGUGAAGAAGGCCUUCGGGUUGUAAAGCUCUUUCGCAAGGGAAGAAAACUUAUCCUCUAACAUAGGAUGAGGUUGACGGUACCUUGAUAAGAAGCACCGGCUAACUACGUGCCAGCAGCCGCGGUAAUACGUAGGGUGCGAGCGUUAAUUGGAAUUACUGGGCGUAAAGCGUGCGCAGGCGGUUUUGUAAGUCAGAUGUGAAAUCCCCGAGCUCAACUUGGGAACUGCGUUUGAAACUACAAGACUAGAAUAUGUCAGAGGGGGGUAGAAUUCCACGUGUAGCAGUGAAAUGCGUAGAGAUGUGGAGGAAUACCAAUGGCGAAGGCAGCCCCCUGGGAUAAUAUUGACGCUCAUGCACGAAAGCGUGGGGAGCAAACAGGAUUAGAUACCCUGGUAGUCCACGCCCUAAACGAUGUCUACUAGUUGUUGGUGGAGUAAA